GCAAGCAUGAUGUAGUGGUUUGAACAUUGGACUAGGACUCUAGAGACCAGGGUUCGAUUCCCAGCUCAGCCA
Non-coding RNA from Phrynosoma platyrhinos (Desert horned lizard), 72 nucleotides. The record is from the annotation of a GenBank genome assembly. Lineage: Eukaryota; Metazoa; Chordata; Lepidosauria; Squamata; Phrynosomatidae.